GUAUUGCAUGAAAAGAGAGAUGUUUAGCACUUCUCUAGAUAAGAACACAUUUAAUGGUAGGCACCGUCAUUAUUUGACAACUCUUAUUCAAUAAAAUCUUUAU
RNAcentral lists this non-coding RNA (103 nucleotides) under Trachymyrmex cornetzi. Lineage: Eukaryota; Metazoa; Arthropoda; Insecta; Hymenoptera; Formicidae. The record is from RNAcentral.